This is a long non-coding RNA of Cervus elaphus (red deer), 145 nucleotides long. RefSeq lists it as uncharacterized. NCBI's taxonomy places the organism in Eukaryota, Metazoa, Chordata, Mammalia, Artiodactyla, Cervidae. The record is from RefSeq and is a predicted model, not a curated record. The transcript is spliced from 3 exons.
UUCGUUAUGAUCCAACUCUUACAUCCGCACAUGACGACUGGAAAAACCAUAGUUCGACUAUGCAGACCUUUGUUGGCGGAGUGAUGUCUCUGCUUUAUAAUACGCUGUCUGGGUUUGACAUAGGUUUUUUCCAAGGGGCAAGGGA